Molecule: ribosomal RNA, 490 nt
Filed under: uncultured bacterium
Lineage: Bacteria
Description: partial 16S ribosomal RNA
Rfam family: Bacterial small subunit ribosomal RNA
Source: RNAcentral
AUUGAACGCUGGCGGCAUGCCUUACACAUGCAAGUCGAACGGCAGCAUGAUCUAGCUUGCUAGAUUGAUGGCGAGUGGCGAACGGGUGAGUAAUACAUCGGAACGUGCCCUGUAGUGGGGGAUAACUAGUCGAAAGAUUAGCUAAUACCGCAUACGACCUGAGGGUGAAAGUGGGGGACCGCAAGGCCUCAUGCUAUAGGAGCGGCCGAUAUCUGAUUAGCUAGUUGGUGAGGUAAAGGCUCACCAAGGCGACGAUCAGUAGCUGGUCUGAGAGGACGAUCAGCCACACUGGGACUGAGACACGGCCCAGACUCCUACGGGAGGCAGCAGUGGGGAAUUUUGGACAAUGGGCGAAAGCCUGAUCCAGCAAUGCCGCGUGUGUGAAGAAGGCCUUCGGGUUGUAAAGCACUUUUGUCCGGAAAGAAAUGGCUCUGGUUAAUACCUGGGGUCGAUGACGGUACCGGAAGAAUAAGGACCGGCUAACUACGUA